This 403-nucleotide ribosomal RNA is filed under the name Fusobacteriota bacterium. RNAcentral describes it as "Fusobacteria bacterium partial 16S ribosomal RNA". It matches the Rfam family "Bacterial small subunit ribosomal RNA", at positions 355 to 776 of the family's 1533-position model. Lineage: Bacteria; Fusobacteriati; Fusobacteriota. The record is from RNAcentral.
UGGGGAAUAUUGCACAAUGGAGGGAACUCUGAUGCAGCGACGCCGCGUGAACGAAGAAGGCUUUCGAGUAGUAAAGUUCUUUUAUAUGGGAAGAUAAUGACGGUACCAUAAGAAAAAGCCCCGGCUAACUACGUGCCAGCAGCCGCGGUAAUACGUAGGGGGCUAGCGUUAUCCGGAAUCACUGGGCGUAAAGGGUUCGCAGGCGGAAAUGCAAGUCAGGUGUAAAAGGCAGUAGCUUAACUACUGUAAGCAUUUGAAACUGCAUAUCUUUAGAAGAGUAGAGGUAAGUGGAAUUUUUAGUGUAGCGGUGAAAUGCGUAGAUAUUAAAAAGAAUACCGGUGGCGAAGGCGACUUACUGGGCUCAUUCUGACGCUGAGGAACGAAAGCGUGGGUAGCAAACAGG